RNAcentral lists this ribosomal RNA (252 nucleotides) under uncultured Lactobacillus sp. Its description in RNAcentral is "partial 16S ribosomal RNA". It matches the Rfam family "Bacterial small subunit ribosomal RNA", at positions 112 to 355 of the family's 1533-position model. The record is from RNAcentral. Lineage: Bacteria; Bacillati; Bacillota; Bacilli; Lactobacillales; Lactobacillaceae.
CGAACGUGGGGAACCGUGCCCCAUAGUCUGGGAUACCACUUGGAAACAGGUGCUAAUACCGGAUAAGAAAGCGGAUCGCAUGAUCAGCUUUUAAAAGGCGGCGUAAGCUGUCGCUAUGGGAUGGCCCCGCGGUGCAUUAGCUAGUUGGUAAGGUAAAGGCUUACCAAGGCGAUGAUGCAUAGCCGAGUUGAGAGACUGAUCGGCCACAUUGGGACUGAGACACGGCCCAAACUCCUACGGGAGGCAGCAGUC